RNAcentral lists this unclassified non-coding RNA (493 nucleotides) under Metschnikowia sp. JSKim-2014. Its description in RNAcentral is "partial contains 18S rRNA, ITS1, 5.8S rRNA, and ITS2". The stretch from base 195 to 348 matches the Rfam family "5.8S ribosomal RNA". Lineage: Eukaryota; Fungi; Ascomycota; Pichiomycetes; Serinales; Metschnikowiaceae. The record is from RNAcentral.
CGGAAGGAUCAUUAAAGAGUAAGGGUGCUCAGCGCCCGACCUCCAACCCUUUGUUGUUAAAACUACCUUGUUGCUUUGGCGGGACCGCUCGGUCUCGAGCCGCUGGGGAUUCGUCCCAGGCGAGCGCCCGCCAGAGUUAAACCAAACUCUUGUUAUUUAACCGGUCGUCUGAGUUAAAAUUUUGAAUAAAUCAAAACUUUCAACAACGGAUCUCUUGGUUCUCGCAUCGAUGAAGAACGCAGCGAAAUGCGAUAAGUAAUGUGAAUUGCAGAAUUCAGUGAAUCAUCGAAUCUUUGAACGCACAUUGCGCCCCUUGGUAUUCCGAGGGGCAUGCCUGUUCGAGCGUCAUUACACCACUCAAGCUAUGCUUGGUAUUGGGCGUCGUCCUUAGUUGGGCGCGCCUUAAAGACCUCGGCGAGGCCACUCCGGCUUUAGGCGUAGUAGAAUUUAUUCGAACGUCUGUCAAAGGAGAGGAACUCUGCCGACUGAAACC